UUGAAAAGAACUUUGAAGAGAGAGUUCAAGAGUACGUGAAACCGUUCAGGGGUAAACCUAAGAGACCCAAAAGAUCGAACGGGGAGAUUCAUCGUCGGCGACGCUGGCUUCGCGUCGGUGGGCGAUGUCCCGCGGGGCCUCGCGGCCCGCGCGCGGGCACGCCGCCGCGCGUCGAUGCCCGGCGUCCGUCGUCGUGCACUUCUCCCCCAGUAGAACGUCGCGACCCGCUGGGUGUCGGUCUACGGCCCGGGUGCGGUGUCUGCGGUGUCGCCGCCAAAAACGGCGCGCCGUCAAACCCCCGGUCGCCCGGCCGGCUGCCCGGCGGUACGCGCAAGGUAUCAGGCCGCACCGUCCCCGUCGCGCGAGCGCGCGCGCGCGCGCGCUGGCCCCUCCCGGGGUCACGCCGCGCCGCGCGCCGCCGACGUCGCGCGUGCGUCGAGGCCGUCGCAAGCGCGCGCCACGGACACGGAGGCUAACGGACCCAGCGCCGUCCCCGUGCCUGGCCCGCUGUUGGCUCGCACGGCUAACCUUCGACAGGCCCGCGAACGUUCCCCGCGCGCGCUUCGCGCGCGCGCCGGGGUUCCGAUACCGGUCGGCGACGCUACUGCUUUGGGUGCUCUUAGGACCCGUCUUGAAACACGGACCAAGGAGUCUAACAUGUACGCGAGUCAUUGGGACUCGGCGAGAUACCUAAAGGCGCAAUGAAAGUGAAGGUCGGCCCCGGUCGUCGACCGAGGGAGGAUGGGCCGCGUCGCGACGCGGCCCCGCACUCCCGGGGCGUCUCGUUCUCAUCGCGAGAAGAGGCGCACCCAGAGCGUACACGUUGGGACCCGAAAGAUGGUGAACUAUGCCUGGUCAGGACGAAGUCAGGGGAAACCCUGAUGGAGGUCCGUAGCGAUUCUGACGUGCAAAUCGAUCGUCGGAACUGGGUAUAGGGGCGAAAGACUAAUCGAACCAUCUAGUAGCUGGUUCCCUCCGAAGUUUCCCUCAGGAUAGCUGGCACUCGGCCGUUCCGCACGGAACGCGCGCGAGUCUCAUCUGGUAAAGCGAAUGAUUAGAGGCCUUGGGGCCGAAACGACCUCAACCUAUUCUCAAACUUUAAAUGGGUGAGAUCUCUGGCUUUCUUGAACUAUGAAGCCACGAGCAUCUUCGGAUCAGAGUGCCAAGUGGGCCAUUUUUGGUAAGCAGAACUGGCGCUGUGGGAUGAACCAAACGCGGAGUUAAGGCGCCCAACUCGACGCUCAUGGGACACCAUGAAAGGCGUUGGUUGCUUAAGACAGCAGGACGGUGGCCAUGGAAGUCGGAAUCCGCUAAGGAGUGUGUAACAACUCACCUGCCGAAGCAACUAGCCCUGAAAAUGGAUGGCGCUGAAGCGUCGAGCCUAUACUCCGCCGUCAGCGGCAAGUGGGGCCGGCCGCGCGCGCGCGCGCGCCCUCGGGUGCGCGUCGCGCGCGCGCGCCGCCACGAGGCCCUGACGAGUAGGAGGGUCGCGGCGGUGUGCGCAGAAGGGUCU
This 1513-nucleotide ribosomal RNA is filed under the name Carebara vespillo. RNAcentral describes it as "partial 28S ribosomal RNA". It matches the Rfam family "Eukaryotic large subunit ribosomal RNA", at positions 364 to 1413 of the family's 3401-position model. The record is from RNAcentral. Lineage: Eukaryota; Metazoa; Arthropoda; Insecta; Hymenoptera; Formicidae.